Molecule: ribosomal RNA, 736 nt
Filed under: uncultured Fusobacterium sp.
Lineage: Bacteria; Fusobacteriati; Fusobacteriota; Fusobacteriia; Fusobacteriales; Fusobacteriaceae
Description: bacterial SSU rRNA
Rfam family: Bacterial small subunit ribosomal RNA
Source: RNAcentral
GAUGAACGCUGACAGAAUGCUUAACGCAUGCAAGUCAACUUGAAUUUGGGUUUUUAACUUAGAUUUGGGUGGCGGACGGGUGAGUAACGCGUAAAGAACUUGCCUCACAGCUAGGGACAACAUUUAGAAAUGAAUGCUAAUACCUGAUAUUAUGAUUUUAAGGCAUCUUAGAAUUAUGAAAGCUAUAAGCACUGUGAGAGAGCUUUGCGUCCCAUUAGCUAGUUGGAGAGGUAACAGCUCACCAAGGCGAUGAUGGGUAGCCGGCCUGAGAGGGUGAACGGCCACAAGGGGACUGAGACACGGCCCUUACUCCUACGGGAGGCAGCAGUGGGGAAUAUUGGACACUCAGACCGAGAGUCUGAUCCAGCAAUUCUGUGUGCACGAUGAAGUUUUUCGGAAUGUAAAGUGCUUUCAGUUGGGAAGAAAGAAAUGACGGUACCAACAGAAGAAGUGACGGCUAAAUACGUGCCAGCAGCCGCGGUAAUACGUAUGUCACGAGCGUUAUCCGGAUUUAUUGGGCGUAAAGCGCGUCUAGGUGGUUAUGUAAGUCUGAUGUGAAAAUGCAGGGCUCAACUUUGUAUUGCGUUGGAAACUGUAUAACUAGAGUACUGGAGAGGUAAGCGGAACUACAAGUGUAGAGGUGAAAUUCGUAGAUAUUUGUAGGAAUGCCGAUGGGGAGGCCAGCUUACUGGACAGAUACUGACGCUAAAGCGCGAAAGCGUGGGUAGCAAACAGG